UUAUGUGGCCAUACUAGCCUGUCAUUUCCUGAUCUCGUUAGAUCUCGGAAACUAAGCAGGUCUGGGCCUGGUUAGUAGUUGGAUGUGAGACCACUUAGAACUCCAGGUGCCACAGUGG
Molecule: ribosomal RNA, 118 nt
Filed under: Gouania willdenowi (blunt-snouted clingfish)
Lineage: Eukaryota; Metazoa; Chordata; Actinopteri; Blenniiformes; Gobiesocidae
Source: RNAcentral